UUGUCCUGCUGCUGGAAGCCAGGGUGGAGGUGGGGAGCUUCACGCAGAGCCUACUUCAUGGGGACUGACAGAAGGCCGCGUGGUUUCUUCUAUACAGCGAUGUCUAGACAGAUGCAAUCAGAGAGUACGCAGUCUCUCGUGUGGAACUUCUCUCCCUCGGCGUGACAUACGUUACAUUCACCCAGUUAAGUCUCAUCUGUUGCUGCACACAGUUCGAGGUGGGCUGUGGCUCCUUGUGAAUAUUUCUGUGACGGAGAGACCUCCUCCAUCCUCAGGAUGAACACUCCUAAAUUACAUCAUCCUUGGUGUGGCGCUCCAUGGGCUUGGUGACCGUUUCAGAUCACUACAAACUUACUCUCAAAACCAAUGAGGCCAGUCAGUCUGUGCGUCUCGGGGACCUCUAUAUAACUUUCCCCGGGAGAAACACAGCACCUUGUCUGACCGGGACUUGCUGGUAUGAGCCAAGAGUGGGAGUAAAAAUAAGGAACUGAGCCCAUGGAUCCCGGGUGAUGAGCAAGGGUGGAGGAGGCCCUACUCCUGGCCUGCAGGAGGCUCACGCAGUCGUGGGGAUGGCGUCAGUUUGCAGUAAGUCAUCCCGACAGCCAGUGCUGUGGAGAAUCUGGGUUUGUAAAGAUCAAAAGCAAACACCGGGUUGGGAAUCUAGGAGUAACACAAAUGUACUUGUGAAUGUCUGAAAAUCCAAGAAAGUUUCCAGAAGAAAAUAAAAAAGAAACUGUCUGCCAUCCCGCUAUCCAGAGAUAAGCAUUGUUAAAUUUUUUAUGCAUUUCUCUA
Molecule: non-coding RNA, 792 nt
Organism: Oryctolagus cuniculus (rabbit)
Lineage: Eukaryota; Metazoa; Chordata; Mammalia; Lagomorpha; Leporidae
Source: RefSeq, a predicted model, not a curated record